RNAcentral lists this ribosomal RNA (464 nucleotides) under uncultured bacterium. RNAcentral's name for it is "partial 16S ribosomal RNA". It matches the Rfam family "Bacterial small subunit ribosomal RNA", at positions 339 to 795 of the family's 1533-position model. The record is from RNAcentral.
CUACGGGGGGCAGCAGUAGGGAAUUUUCGGCAAUGGGCGAAAGCCUGACCGAGCAACGCCGCGUGAGUGAUUAAGGCCUUCGGGUUGUAAAGCUCUGUUGUAAAGGAAGAACGAUCGUGAUAGGAAAUGAUCACGAUGUGACGGUACUUUACCAGAAAGCCACGGCUAACUACGUGCCAGCAGCCGCGGUAAUACGUAGGUGGCAAGCGUUAUCCGGAGAUUAUUGGGCGUAAAGGGAGCGUAGGCGGUUUAUUAAGUCUGUGGUGAAAGUUCGGGGCUCAACCCCGUAUGGCCACAGAAACUGAUAGACUUGAGUAUAGGAGAGGGCAGUGGAAUUCCAUGUGUAGCGGUAAAAUGCGUAGAUAUAUGGAGGAACACCGGUGGCGAAGGCGGCUGCCUGGCCUAUUACUGACGCUGAGGCUCGAAAGCGUGGGGAGCAAAUAGGAUUAGAUACCCGUGUAGUC